Molecule: ribosomal RNA, 396 nt
Filed under: uncultured bacterium
Lineage: Bacteria
Description: partial 16S ribosomal RNA
Rfam family: Bacterial small subunit ribosomal RNA
Source: RNAcentral
AUACGUAGGGAGCGAGCGUUGUCCGGAAUUACUGGGUGUAAAGGGUGCGUAGGCGGGACUGCAAGUCAGAUGUGAAAUGCCGGGGCUCAACCCCGGAGCUGCAUUUGAAACUGUGGUUCUUGAGUGAGGUAGAGGUAAGCGGAAUUCCUAGUGUAGCGGUGAAAUGCGUAGAUAUUAGGAGGAACAACGGUGGCGAAGGCGGCUUACUGGGCCUUUACUGACGCUGAGGCACGAAAGCGUGGGGAGCAAACAGGAUUAGAGACCCUGGUAGUCCACGCUGUAAACGAUGAUGACUAGGUGUGGGGGGACUGAACCCUUCCGUGCCGCAGUUAACACAAUAAGUCAUCCACCUGGGGAGUACGGCCGCAAGGUUGAAACUCAAAUGAAUUGACGGGG